GUAUGACGUGAUGUUAUCAUCUUUCGGGACUGACCUGCAAUGGAGAGAAUUACUUGGCUGAUCAUAC
Small nucleolar RNA from Triplophysa dalaica, 67 nucleotides. RefSeq annotates it as small nucleolar RNA SNORD2. The record is from RefSeq and is a predicted model, not a curated record. NCBI's taxonomy places the organism in Eukaryota, Metazoa, Chordata, Actinopteri, Cypriniformes, Nemacheilidae. The transcript has a single exon.